This 254-nucleotide ribosomal RNA is filed under the name uncultured bacterium. Its description in RNAcentral is "partial 16S ribosomal RNA". It matches the Rfam family "Bacterial small subunit ribosomal RNA", at positions 524 to 776 of the family's 1533-position model. The record is from RNAcentral.
UACGUAGGGGGCAAGCGUUGUCCGGAUUUAUUGGGCGUAAAGAGCUCGUAGGCGGUUUGGUAAGUCUGGUGUGAAAUCUCCACGCUCAACGUGGAGGGGCCACCCGAUACUGCCAUGACUGGAGUCCGGUAGAGGAGUGUGGAAUUCCCGGUGUAGCGGUGAAAUGCGCAGAUAUCGGGAGGAACACCCGUAGCGAAGGCGGCUCUCUGGGACGUGACUGACGCUGAGACGCGAAAGCGUGGGGAGCGAACAGG